UACGGGGGGGGCAAGCGUUGUUCGGAAUUACUGGGCGUAAAGGGCUCGUAGGCGGCCAACUAAGUCCGACGUGAAAUCCCAAGGCUUAACCUUGGAACUGCGUCGGAUACUGGAUGGCUUGAAUUCGGGAGAGGGAUGCAGAAUUCCAGGUGUAGCGGUGAAAUGCGUAGAUAUCUGGAGGAACACCGGUGGCGAAGGCGCCCACCUGGCCUGCUACUGACGCUGAAGCUCGAAAGCUAGGGGAGCAAACGGG
RNAcentral lists this ribosomal RNA (253 nucleotides) under uncultured bacterium. RNAcentral describes it as "partial 16S ribosomal RNA". It matches the Rfam family "Bacterial small subunit ribosomal RNA", at positions 524 to 776 of the family's 1533-position model. The record is from RNAcentral.